CCCGCCAUGCCCGGCCCGGCCGCGGGCAGCAGGGCCCGGGUCUACGCCGAGGUGAACAGCCUGAGGAGCCGCGAAUAUUGGGACUACGAGUCUCACGUCCCGAGCUGGGGUAAUCAAGAUGAUUACCAACUGGUUCGAAAACUUGGUCGGGGAAAGUAUAGUGAAGUAUUUGAGGCCAUUAACAUCACUAACAAUGAGAGAGUGGUGGUAAAAAUUCUCAAGCCAGUGAAGAAAAAGAAGAUAAAACGAGAGGUUAAGAUUCUGGAGAACCUCCGUGGUGGCACAAAUAUUAUUAAGUUGAUUGAUACCGUGAAGGACCCUGUGUCAAAGACACCAGCUUUGGUAUUUGAAUAUAUCAAUAAUACAGAUUUUAAGCAACUUUACCAGAUCCUGACAGACUUUGAUAUCCGGUUUUAUAUGUAUGAACUACUUAAAGCUCUGGAUUACUGCCACAGCAAAGGAAUCAUGCACAGGGAUGUGAAACCUCACAAUGUCAUGAUAGAUCACCAACAGAAAAAGCUGCGACUGAUAGACUGGGGUCUGGCCGAGUUCUAUCACCCUGCUCAGGAGUACAAUGUCCGUGUAGCCUCGAGAUACUUCAAGGGACCAGAGCUCCUCGUGGACUAUCAGAUGUAUGAUUAUAGCUUGGACAUGUGGAGUUUGGGCUGUAUGUUAGCCAGCAUGAUCUUUCGAAAGGAACCCUUCUUCCACGGACAGGACAACUACGACCAGCUUGUUCGCAUUGCCAAGGUUCUGGGUACAGAUGAGCUGUAUGGGUAUCUGAAGAAAUAUCACAUAGACCUAGAUCCACACUUCAACGAUAUCCUGGGACAACAUUCACGAAAACGCUGGGAAAACUUUAUCCAUAGUGAGAACAGACACCUUGUCAGCCCUGAGGCCCUAGAUCUUCUGGACAAACUUCUGCGAUACGACCAUCAACAGAGACUGACUGCCAAAGAGGCCAUGGAGCACCCCUACUUCUACCCCGUGGUGAAGGAGCAGUCCCAGCCGUGUGCAGAUAACGCUGUGCUUUCCAGCGGCCUCACGGCAGCCCGGUGAAGACUGGAAGGCGACGGGUCUGUUGCGGUUCCUCCCACUUUUCCAUAAGCAGAACAAGAACCAAAUCAAACGUCUUAACGUGUGUAGAGAGAUCACGUGCCGUGGGCAGACACAAAACGGUGGCAGGUUUGGCGAACAUGAACUAGACCAGCUGAAGGGCAGCCCACCACCGUGUAUCAAACCUCACUUCCGAAUGUAAAAGGUUCACACGCCUUUGGCUUCCUGUUGACUUCCUCCUGACCCAGAAAGCAUGGGAAAUGUGAAGGGUGACUGUGGGAACCCAGGUGCGGACGUUCAGUUUUUGAAGCGAGUAUGGGGGGGAAAGCAGAGAGGCCCUUCAAGGCCACCCCGUCACAGUGUUCCUCCGAUCAGCUGUCGAGUCUGAGCAGCUCCUCAGGUGUGGAAACUUGAGACUGCACGCAAGGGUCCACAGGCCCUGCUCUUUCUAAGGCCAACAGGACAUCGAGUGGAUGGACGUGGUGCUCCCCAGCUCCUUCAGCAGCAUCGUGUUCUCGAGUGUUCUGUCUCGUCAGGCCGUUUUUCACUCAAGGCUCUGUGACCUUUGGUUGGUUGCAGACCCCUGGAACGACAUCUCAGUGUGUUGCCAUGAAUAUACCCCGGGAGCUCCUGUGGGUGCCAUGCCUCAACUGUGGUUUCUGUCAAGACAGCGUGCUACUCUGUGUUGGCCUGCUGGCACUUAGGACCCUUCCGGGUGGGAAGGGUCUGUUUGGAGCAGUUAACAGUAAUAUGUUUGGGAAUUCUCUCAAUGGCAUGAUCAUGGCUUUGUCCUUAAAUCUCCCUUCUCAAUCAAGUGUCUCUUUAACUUCCCAGUGGGAAGGUCUUGUUUUCCAGAAACCUCUUGGGCACGCCAAAUACUCUUGCCUCUUGUGGGUGAUUGCUGUUGGGUGGGAGAGUGUUUGGUUGUGGAAUGAAGGCGUCUUUGUUUGUUAUUUUGACCUCUAGGAACUUGCUAAGCCAAGAGCAAUCUAAAGCUUACCUAUGUGUUUGGAAGUUCUGAUCAUCAAUCCAUAUCUUGCAAUAGUGCUCUUUAUGUUGGGCUGCUUGAGGUAAUAUAUUCAUCGGAUUUACUUGAUUACCGAAGGGAUAUAGGCCCAUGGUAAAACAAUUCAGAUAACAAAGUCAUUGUUGACAGUACUUCCCCCUGUCCCGCCACCACACAUACAUAGAUACUUCUUUCUUCCCUUGGAGCUAAUGUUGAAAUUGGGCCUUGAUCUUCCCAUUUUCCCCUAUACAUUUAUUAACAUUUUUGA
Condylura cristata (star-nosed mole) is the source of this 2330-nucleotide RNA transcript. It is a transcript of the gene named casein kinase 2, alpha prime polypeptide, with no coding region annotated. NCBI's taxonomy places the organism in Eukaryota, Metazoa, Chordata, Mammalia, Eulipotyphla, Talpidae. The transcript has 13 exons. The record is from RefSeq and is a predicted model, not a curated record.